AAAUAAAAAAAGAUGGGAUUAUUAUAAUGAAAGUGUAUGCUGACAUUAUAAUAAUCUUGUCUAUGUUCUAAAUACAAAAUACCUUCACGAGGUUUAGAAUGUGUGAUAUAAGGAAGUUAUAUUAGCUAAAUUUAUGUAUGUGGUAAAGGAGUUGAUUAGAAAAAGCUUGUGUAGUUAGGUGUAGAGAAGAUUAUUAAGAGAUGUAAUCUAUGGAGUUUUAAGAUAGUUUUUAUGCCUAUAAUAUCAAGGAUCUAUAUUAUUUACAGCACACUAAUUUUAACA
RNAcentral lists this unclassified non-coding RNA (282 nucleotides) under Nosema bombycis. The record is from RNAcentral. Lineage: Eukaryota; Fungi; Microsporidia; Nosematidae.